This 48-nucleotide non-coding RNA is filed under the name Schistosoma margrebowiei. Lineage: Eukaryota; Metazoa; Platyhelminthes; Trematoda; Strigeidida; Schistosomatidae. The record is from RNAcentral.
AUUCAGCUGACGAGUCCCAAACAUGACGAAAUGCGCGUCAAAUCGGAU